This 422-nucleotide ribosomal RNA is filed under the name uncultured eukaryote. Its description in RNAcentral is "SSU rRNA". It matches the Rfam family "Eukaryotic small subunit ribosomal RNA", at positions 592 to 1018 of the family's 1831-position model. The record is from RNAcentral.
CAAUAGCGUAUAUUAAAGUUGUUGCAGUUAAAAGCUCGUAGUUGGAUCUCGGGUUUAGGCUGGCGGUCCGCCCAGUCGGCGGUCACUGCCUGUCCUGACCUACCUGCCGGUCUUCCCCUGGUGCUCUUCAUUGAGUGUCUGGGGCGGCCGGGACGUUUACUUUGAAAAAUUAGAGUGUUCAAGGCAGGCGUUCUCGCCUGAAUAAUAGUGCAUGGAAUAAUGGAAGAGGACCUCGGUUCUAUUUUGUUGGUUUUCGGAACUGGAGGUAAUGAUUAAGAGGGACUGACGGGGGCAUUCGUAUUACGGUGUUAGAGGUGAAAUUCUUGGAUCGUCGUAAGACGAACUACUGCGAAAGCAUUUGCCAAGAAUGUUUUCAUUAAUCAAGAACGAAAGUCGGAGGUUCGAAGACGAUUAGAUACCGU